RNAcentral lists this non-coding RNA (43 nucleotides) under Compsopogon caeruleus. Lineage: Eukaryota; Rhodophyta; Compsopogonophyceae; Compsopogonales; Compsopogonaceae. The record is from RNAcentral.
UUUUUUUUUUUUUUUUUUUUUUAAUUUGCAAUUGUUUGUUUGA